Anneissia japonica is the source of this 1465-nucleotide long non-coding RNA. RefSeq lists it as uncharacterized. The record is from RefSeq and is a predicted model, not a curated record. NCBI's taxonomy places the organism in Eukaryota, Metazoa, Echinodermata, Crinoidea, Comatulida, Comatulidae. The transcript is spliced from 3 exons.
UUUUUCUGCUUUGUUCAUUACAUAUAAAAAAAAUGUGUUUAAAAAACUCUUUUCAACCAGCCCCUUUUUAUCAUUUUAAAAAAAGAAGGGCAAACAAACAAUUUAUAUUUUUAGGCCUAAUAGACCGUCUCAACGACUAUAUUGCUUUGAUAACCGGAAUCCACAUUACCUCUUACCUGAAAAAAAGAAAAAUAUUAACAAAAGCAUUGUGCUUGAAUUAGCUCAGGUAAAUAGACACACACCACGACAUAGAUGACGACUCCAAACAAUAGUGGGUGUGGGAUUGGGAUAAUGCCCAUAUGGCACCCCAUACAAAUUUCGCCCGACCGAAAUUAUCGGCGGCCGAAGUCAUGAGGAAAUGGGCCCGAUCGUCUUUGGAAAAAUGGGCCCGCCGUUUUAGAAAAUGGGCCCGAAAGUCUACAUCGGUGGGCCCGAUCGUCCAAAAAUGUGCCCGAUCGUCUCGUGUGCCCGUUCGUCUGUAAGCCGUCGUGAUCGAGUAUUUCACAAUGUCGACUACCAGGCGCCGAGAGACCUAGAUUGUUUAUCGUCUUUUAGAAUACAAGGAAAAAUAUUUAAGGAAGCUAAAAACGAAUGCAGGGCCUAUAGUAUUUUAAUUUAACAACCAACACUUCCACCCAAGAUCGUGCGUAGGGCUUAUCAAAAGGAAGGGAAAAGGAGGUACUGUACUAGAAGACCUUACCAAAUGCAAAUGCAAAUGAAGAGAAAGGUGUUAGGGGAGUUAUUACUGACAUUGUUAUAGAAGAUAAUGGUCAACCAAAAGGAACAACACCAGGCAUAUUAACCAGAGAAGGAGAAGCAAAAUUGGCAGUUAGCUUCCUAACAUUGUAGAAAAAACAACAAUCUGUAUUAAAAGCUGUAAAUGAAGAGUCCACAUUAGGUUAUGUUGAGGAAUUAUUUGAUGCUCUUCCUUUGAGAGUCGGUAUGAUAUCAAAAUGCUUAAGGAUGCACUUGACAAUGCAAAAGAAAAUCAUGAUGUCAUUCCUGAACAAAUAACAAAUUACUUUAUUUGGACUGAUAAGGCUACACUGGUUAGGGAAAGAAAGUCAAGAUUCAAAUGAAACAGAAGUUUAAUGUAGGUUAUGUAGUAAUGUUAAAAUUAGGAAUUCAAGUGCAAGUAUCGGAAGGAAAUGACUUUCAUAUUGUAAGAACUGCACAUGCUGGUAUUACUCUUCGGUUGUUUCGGCCAAGCUUGUGGCAGAUCCAACAUAUGCAACAUACUACUAAUUGUAGUUAAGAGUAAUACUGUAUUUAAGAGUAGUUAAGUACUGUAUUUAAGAGUAGUUAAGCAUAGCUUAUGUAGGUUAUGUUAGGUAGGAAGCGUCGGUGACUAAACUGACAACCCUCUCAAAUGUCUUAGUGGCUGCUGAGGGGAGGGUGUUUAUGGUCACCCAGCAGCAAGAAAAACCAAUAGCUGAACAAAGGGCGGAUGAGCUCCUCGGAGUCA